Molecule: transfer RNA, 72 nt
Organism: Ovis aries (sheep)
Lineage: Eukaryota; Metazoa; Chordata; Mammalia; Artiodactyla; Bovidae
Rfam family: tRNA
About the family: Transfer RNA (tRNA) molecules are approximately 80 nucleotides in length. Their secondary structure includes four short double-helical elements and three loops (D, anti-codon, and T loops). Further hydrogen bonds mediate the characteristic L-shaped molecular structure. tRNAs have two regions of fundamental functional importance: the anti-codon, which is responsible for specific mRNA codon recognition, and the 3' end, to which the tRNAs corresponding amino acid is attached (by aminoacyl-tRNA synthetases). tRNAs cope with the degeneracy of the genetic code in two manners: having more than one tRNA (with a specific anti-codon) for a particular amino acid; and 'wobble' base-pairing, i.e. permitting non-standard base-pairing at the 3rd anti-codon position.
Source: Rfam
UCCCUGGUGGCUCAAACAGUAAAGAAACUGCCUGCAAUGCAGGAGACCCAGGUUCAAUCCCUGGGUCGGGAA